GGAAAUUGCUGAGGGGACUCAGUCGCUUCUACCUAUGUAUAUAUAUAUAUAUAUAUAUAUAUAAGAAAAAGGACAAGGAUUAACAAGCUGCAUUCUGAGGUUGCUUUGUUCCAUCUUCGGCCUCUUUCUCUUCUUGUAGCGCGCAGAAGAUCGAGAUCAUGAUCAUCAUGUAUCGGCUAUCGUACGUGUCUGAUGUUUGCAAGUUCUUGCCUAAGGUUUGUUUUGCAUGGGAAGGUGGAUGAAUUAAAAUUAAUGGUGUCGACGAUGCUGAUAAUUAAAGGCCAGGCAAUAAUUUUCGGAGACCGAUCACGUACAUGAGUUGCAAACAACAUUGGUCAAGUGUCGAACCCAUGCAUGCAAAACAAGUUUAAGCCUACUCAUAAUAUUAAUGAUAUAUUCGCUAACUCUCUCGAUUUGAGAUGGCAUUACACCCAACAUGCAUGUUUCUCUUCCUAAUUUUGUCUAUACACUUUUAUGGGCCAGGGCCUGACUUCAUAAUUAAUUUAGAAAAUUUUCAUUUGGGCCGAUCAACUUCACCACGCGUUUACAGCAAAGAAAAAUGUUAAUUCCAUUAGAAUAAUUGUAAAUAUAUAUAUAAAUUAAUAUGCCUUGAUUUAUUUUACGAUUAUAUUAAUAUUUUAUGGCAUAAAAACGUCUCCCUGGCCCAAAAAAUAUGGGAACAAGAAAACCAAAAAAAUAAGGUUGCGUGUAUGUAUUUUUCUCAUUAUAAGUUACCGUAUGUUAACGGAGAAGGAAACUUGAAGAGGAAGCUUGAACAUAUAUGAAAGCUUAAAGAGGAAGCUAAGUUGGAACAUUCGAUCGGAUACUGAUACUCACUCCGGUGGACUCCUUCGGCAGAUUACUUUUUGGCAAUCCAAUGGUGGUCAGACUUUGGUCAAGAAACACAAUGAUUAAAAACACGUCCGACGUCACAAUGAAAGUGGAUGUGAUGGUGCAUCCUGGCAACUUUCUAUCAGAGGCGAGUCCAGGUAAAAUCCCAGCUGGUGAGCACAGGUAUAUCUGCUACGCGGAUAUUGGCAUUGAAUAUAAUCGCGACCGUGACUUUGAAGUGCUCGCUUACUUUGAGGGUGCCCUGAAUAAGGAUAAGAAAAUCAUAUCGUCAUCCGAGAUAAGGGACAAUGCGAUAAUUGAAUUGAACGACCUGAACGGAACUGUCACCGCCCUUCCAAUUAAGGGAAAUAUGAUUGCAAUGAACGGAGCUGUUAUCGUCGUGAAACGCACAGCGAAAAAGAUGAUUAAGUCUGUGUGGAAAUCGGAUGGAAGAUCAUCGAUGACAGAGAAAUGGAAUUUGAUCUAAUUAGCGUAAGGCUGUCAGUAGGAAUGGUCGGGAAAUUCCAUGUGGAUCAGCAGCCAACGAAAUUGAUUGCAGUUGGUAUGAGCAGCAGGCAGGAAGCUUAACUUUUUUUGAUGGAGUUUACAGCUUCUUCUGAAGUCUAUCAAUUUGGUCUGUACACGAAGCUUAGAGUUCUAAUAUUGAAUAACGAUAAUUUGAAACCUAUACAAGAAAAAGUUCUGUUAUUAGAGCACAGGUUAGUCAGAAUGGGAUGUGAAA
Long non-coding RNA from Carya illinoinensis, 1573 nucleotides. RefSeq lists it as uncharacterized. The transcript has 5 exons. Lineage: Eukaryota; Viridiplantae; Streptophyta; Magnoliopsida; Fagales; Juglandaceae. The record is from RefSeq and is a predicted model, not a curated record.